Molecule: ribosomal RNA, 467 nt
Filed under: uncultured bacterium
Lineage: Bacteria
Description: partial 16S ribosomal RNA
Rfam family: Bacterial small subunit ribosomal RNA
Source: RNAcentral
GACGAACGCUGGCGGCGUGCUUAACACAUGCAAGUCGAACGGAAAGGCCUCUUUCGGGGGGUACUCGAGUGGCGAACGGGUGAGUAACACGUGAGUAACCUGCCCUUGACUUUGGGAUAACUUCAGGAAACUGGGGCUAAUACCGGAUAGGAGCUCCUGCUGCCUGGUGGGGGUUGGAAAGUUUCGGCGGUUGGGGAUGGACUCGCGGCUUAUCAGCUUGUUGGUGGGGUAGUGGCUUACCAAGGCUUUGCCGGGUAGCCGGCCUGAGAGGGUGACCGGCCACAUUGGGACUGAGAGACGGCCCAGACUCCGACGGGAGGCAGAAGGGGGGAAGAUUGCACAAUGGGUGGAAGCCUGAUGCAGCAACGCCGUGUGCGGGAUGACGGCCUUCGGGUUGUAAACCGAUUUCGCUCAUGACGAAGCUUUGUGUGACGGUAGUGGGUAAAGAAGCACCGGCUAACUACGUG